GAGUGAACGCGUGGCGGCGUGCUUAACACAUGCAAGUCGAGCGGAAGCGCUUUGAAUUUUUCGGAAUGAGAAGUGACUGAGCGGGCGACGGGUGAGUAACGCGUGGGUAACCUGCCUCAUACAGGGGGAUAACAGUUAGAAAUGACUGCUAAUACCGCAUAAGCGCACGUCAUCGCAUGAUGGUGUGUGAAAAACUCCGGUGGUAUGAGAUGGACCCGCGUCUGAUUAGCUAGUUGGCGGGGUAACGGCCCACCAAGGCGACGAUCAGUAGCCGGACUGAGAGGUUGGCCGGCCACAUUGGGACUGAGACACGGCCCAG
This 319-nucleotide ribosomal RNA is filed under the name uncultured bacterium. RNAcentral's name for it is "bacterial SSU rRNA". It matches the Rfam family "Bacterial small subunit ribosomal RNA", at positions 27 to 334 of the family's 1533-position model. The record is from RNAcentral.